CUACGGGCCGCAGCAGUGGGGAAUAUUGCACAAUGGGCGCAAGCCUGAUGCAGCCAUGCCGCGUGUAUGAAGAAGGCCUUCGGGUUGUAAAGUACUUUCAGCGGGGAGGAAGGGGGUAAAGUUAAUACCUUUGCUCAUUGACGUUACCCGCAGAAGAAGCACCGGCUAACUCCGUGCCAGCAGCCGCGGUAAUACGGAGGGUGCAAGCGUUAAUCGGAAUUACUGGGCGUAAAGCGCACGCAGGCGGUUUGUUAAGUCAGAUGUGAAAUCCCCGGGCUCAACCUGGGAACUGCAUCUGAUACUGGCAAGCUUGAGUCUCGUAGAGGGGGGUAGAAUUCCAGGUGUAGCGGUGACAUGCGUAGAGAUCUGGAGGAAUACCGGUGGCGAAGGCGGCCCCCUGGACGAAGACUGACGCUCAGGUGCGAAAGCGUGGGGAGCAAACAGGAUUAGAUACCCUCGUAGUC
Molecule: ribosomal RNA, 464 nt
Filed under: uncultured bacterium
Lineage: Bacteria
Description: partial 16S ribosomal RNA
Rfam family: Bacterial small subunit ribosomal RNA
Source: RNAcentral